RNAcentral lists this ribosomal RNA (92 nucleotides) under uncultured bacterium. RNAcentral's name for it is "partial 16S ribosomal RNA". It matches the Rfam family "Bacterial small subunit ribosomal RNA", at positions 1393 to 1482 of the family's 1533-position model. The record is from RNAcentral.
CCCGUCACAUCACGAAAGUGGACUGUACUAGAAGUCGGUGCGCUAACUCGCAAGAGAGGCAGCCGCCCAAGGUAUAGUUCAUGAUUGGGGUG